Oryctolagus cuniculus (rabbit) is the source of this 1898-nucleotide non-coding RNA. Lineage: Eukaryota; Metazoa; Chordata; Mammalia; Lagomorpha; Leporidae. The record is from RefSeq and is a predicted model, not a curated record.
AGAGCCAGGGCAGAGGGGGACACAAAUGCCCCAGGAAGCGAGAACAGAGCACGGGGCACAGGAGCACAGGGCGGCCAAAGAGGCCCCACAAAGAGCCCUGAUGUGGGCACCAACCAGGGCCAAGGCCACAAAGGCGCAGCAGGGAGGCGCAGCAGGGAGACUGGCAGGGUGUGAGCGGAACUGCCACACGCGUCAGCCUCCAGAGCCGGAGUCGCUGCACCGCUCAAAGGGGCCCCUGGAAAGGACCUGGUCUUCAAGAUGCACCCACCCCCGGAUCCAGAUCCCCGGAACCACAAGCUGCUGGGAGACCUGUGACCCCCUAGAAUCCCAACAUCAGAGUUUGGAAGGAUCCUCAAGGGCCAGCAAACACCUGUUCUACGUGGAGAUCAACACACACAGGACCCAAGAGGAGAGGGCGCGCCCAGCGGGCCGGCCAUCGGACUCCCGUUCCCUUGCCACACUCACGCAGCUCGGCACUUCCUCUUCACAACAGGUCAGCCAGCCACGCCUACACGUGGGGACCCGGCUGGGGUUUUGCAGUGGGAAGCACACGUGAUUACAAACACAGAACAGAACGUCGCACCUGAUAGAGCACAACCAAGCACCUCCCCCAGUCUGAGGGAGGCGUUAUGAUGCAGACAGAGGCCGGGCGUCCCGGUAGACCUGGGCUCAAAUUCUGACUCCAGCAUAAACCCGGGGCCUCGAGCUAACUUGCCUGUCGCAUCUGCGUCAUGCCCGCCAGUGGGCUCGCAGGAGAGUACGGCAGCCUCAGUCGGCAGCUGUCUCUACCACGUGCGGUUACGUUGAGCUCUGUAGAUGGGAAAAUGUAUCUGAAAAAACUCCUCAUCACUUGACAUAUCUUCAGCCACAUCUCAGUGGGAUUUUCCAGGGAGUCAGCCAAAAGAUCUUCCAGAAAAGUCCCUGCCCAUAUGCUAUGCGCUGGCUCUGUGCAGCUGGGAAGAGCUCACCAACCUGAACUCAGAAGGAGGCCAGGGCAUUCUCACUUUGAUCUGCACUAACGGGGGUGACUCGCUACAGCAGAGGUCAGGAGCCGUCCGCGUCACACACUUCUCCUCCCGGUGGAACCAGCUCAUCUCGGUCUCUAUACAUUUGGAGCAUCUGCUAGGCGCCUGCCAAGCCUGAAUCAUGGAACCAUUGGAUUUCAUGGGUGGAAACAUCUUAGAGUUCCUGGCUCAGGGAGCAAGCUCUGUCCUCUGGACAACUGACCCUCUGGUCAAGGUGCCCCAGCUUCACUCCCCUUCCCCGACUCCUCUCUGUCCCCCGCACGACCCAGACAAGCCCAGCCCGGCCCCCAGCCCAUGUUUUUGCUGUUUCUUUGCUCCUGUGCAGUUGUCCAGACCAGCCUAGGACGUCCCCAAGACAGGUGUGACGAGACCUCUGGUCCAGCAUGGGCACGGUAGCUGCAGCCUUGGAGUCUCUGUAGGCCUUUAUGUAAGAAAAGGCUGGGAGAAUGCUCCCAGCUUCAGGAAACUACAUAUUGUGCAUUAAAGAAGAGGGGACUUGGGGCUGACACCGUAGUGUAGCAGGUAAAGCUGCCGCCUGCAGUGCUGGCAUCCCAUGUGGGCACUGGUUCGACUCCCAGCUGCUCCACUUCCAAUCCAGCUCUCUGCUGUGGCCUGGGAAAGCAGUAGAAGAUGGCCCAAGUCCUUGAGCCCCUGCACCCACAUGGGAGACCUGGAGGAAGCUCCUGGCUCCUGGCUCCUGGCUCCUGGCUUCGGAUUGGCACAGCUCCAGCUGCUGCGGCCAACUGGGGAGUGAACCAGUGGAUGGAAGACCUCUCUUCUCUCUGCCUCUCCUUCUCUCUCUGUCUAACUCUGACUUUCAAGUAAAUAAAUGAAUCUUAAAGAAGAAGAAGAUACCUUGGAGACCAUUCGGGC